Molecule: ribosomal RNA, 1244 nt
Filed under: metagenome
Description: bacterial LSU rRNA
Rfam family: Bacterial large subunit ribosomal RNA
Source: RNAcentral
UGAAUACGAGACGCUAAGGCGUCGAAGUAGUGUAUGUCAUACUUCCAAGAAAAGCUUGCACUGUCAUAGAUAAAAAACGCCUGUACCAUAACCGACACAGGUGGGUAGGUAGAGUAUACUGAGGGGCGCGAGAUAACUCUCUCUAAGGAACUCGGCAAAAUAACUCCGUAACUUCGGGAGAAGGAGUGCCUUAUUCGUAAGGUUGCAAUAACAAGAUCCAAGCAACUGUUUAUCAAAAACACAGGUCUCCGCUAAGUCGUAAGACGAUGUAUGGGGGCUGACGCCUGCCCAGUGCCAGAAGGUUAAAGAAGUUGGUUAGCAAUUGCGAAGCUGAUAACUGAAGCCCUGGUGAACGGCGGCCGUAACGAUAACGGUCCUAAGGUAGCGAAAUUCCUUGUCGGGUAAGUUCCGACCCGCACGAAAGGCGUAAUGAUUUGGAUACUGUCUCGGAGAGGGGCUCGGUGAAAUAGACUUGUCUGUGAAGAUGCGGACUACCUGCACCAGGACAGAAAGACCCUAUGAAGCUUUACUGUAACUUGAAAUUGAAAUUGGACUUUAUUCGCGCAGUAUAGGUGGGAGGCGUUGAUUAUAAUCUUGUGGGAUUAUUGGAGCCAUCAGUGAGAUACCACUCUUGUAAUGUUAGAUUUCUAACUUUGAAUCAUUAUCUGGUCAAAGAACAGUUUCAGGCGGGCAGUUUGACUGGGGCGGUCGCCUCCUAAACGGUAACGGAGGCGUACAAAGGUUUCCUCUGAACGGUUAGAAAUCGUAUCUAGAGUGUAAAGGCAUAAGGAAGCUUGACUGUGAGACCUACAAGUCGAGCAGGGACGAAAGUCGGUCUUAGUGAUCUGACGGUACUGAGUGGAAAGGCCGUCACUCAACGGAUAAAGGUUACUCUAGGAUAACAGGCUGAUCUCCCCCAAGAGUUCACAUCGACGGGGAGGUUUGGCACCUCGAUGUCGGCUCAUCGCAUCCUGGGGCGGUAGUACGUCCCAAGGGUUGGGCUGUUCGCCCAUGAAAGCGGUACGCGAGCUGGGUUCAGAACGUCGUGAGACAGUUCGGUCCAUAUCCGGUGUAGGCGUUAGAAUAUUGAGAGGAGCCUUCUUUAGUACGAGAGGACCGAGAAGGACAUACCUCUGGUGUACCAGUUAUCGUGCCAACGGUAAACGCUGGGUAGCUAUGUAUGGAGUGGAUAACCGCUGAAAGCAUCUAAGUGGGAAGCCCACCUCAAGAUAAGUAUUCUCAUC